RNAcentral lists this ribosomal RNA (301 nucleotides) under uncultured bacterium. RNAcentral describes it as "partial 16S ribosomal RNA". It matches the Rfam family "Bacterial small subunit ribosomal RNA", at positions 509 to 808 of the family's 1533-position model. The record is from RNAcentral.
CAGUCGCCGCGGUAAUACGGAGGGGGCAAGCGUUAUCCGGAAUUAUUGGGCGUAAAGGGUACGUAGGUGGCCUUUUAAGCGUAGGGUAUAAGGCAAUGGCUCAACCAUUGCUCGCCCUAUGAACUGGAAGGCUUGAGUGCAGGAGAGGAAAGCGGAAUUCCUAGUGUAGCGGUGGAAUGCAUAGAUAUUAGGAGGAACAUCAGCGGCGAAGGCGGCUUUCUGGACUGCAACUGACACUGAGGUACGAAAGCGUGGGGAGCAAACAGGAUUAGAUACCCCCGUAGUCCCUGUCUCUUAUACA